UCUGGUGACUCGGAUGGUAAAGAGCCUGCCUGAAAUGCAGGAGACCUGGGUUCAAUCCCUGCGUCAGGA
This 69-nucleotide transfer RNA is filed under the name Bos taurus (domestic cattle). It matches the Rfam family "tRNA". From Rfam's summary of the family: Transfer RNA (tRNA) molecules are approximately 80 nucleotides in length. Lineage: Eukaryota; Metazoa; Chordata; Mammalia; Artiodactyla; Bovidae. The record is from Rfam by way of RNAcentral.